Pantherophis guttatus is the source of this 1167-nucleotide non-coding RNA. The record is from RefSeq and is a predicted model, not a curated record. NCBI's taxonomy places the organism in Eukaryota, Metazoa, Chordata, Lepidosauria, Squamata, Colubridae.
CUGGGGAAGGCGGGCGGCGGCGGCGGCAGCAGCAGCGGCCGCGGCCCAUGAGGCGAAGGAGCCCGAGCGGGCAGGGCGGCGGCGGUGGUGGGGGCAAAAAUCUGAUCACCCAACAGCCACCGGAAGAUGUAUUUCAUUCUGUUCGUUUGGGAGGAACAUACCACCACCAAAUUCUGGAGAUGUGCAUGUUGCAGGCACGAAGUGAAAAGUGUACUUGUCCAUUAGAAAUUCUGGCAGCCAUGAUGGAAAAUGUACCCAUUGAACACUAGAGGUAGCUACAGACCAGGGUAUAAUGUAGAAUUAGACUCACUGACUUCCAGUUAUAAAAUUCUGCAGCGAUGUUAUAAAGUUUCAGUUUGGUCUGACUACCUGAAGAAACCUCACACAGCAUUGUCCACACUUUUAGAAGUAUGUCAUGUGUUUUAUUUACAUGGCAUAGUCUUCCCUUGGAGGGGAGACAGAUCCCCACUCUCUUGGCCUUCUGAAAAGGAGGUAAGAUGGCUCUGCAGCAUCAAGUGGGAAGCCCUGGGAAACACACAGACAUAGGGCUGGUUAGUCCCCUGAAAGCCCUCCCUUUACAUUUUAACUAAUUUUAAUCUCUUGGCUCCUCUGAUUUUUUUUAAAAAAACUUCUGUAUAUGCUGCUUUAUAUUUUAUUGUACAUUGCCCAGAGAUGGAUGGUACUAUUUAAUUCAGAAAUGUGUACGGCCACUCCUCUUAAGCAAAUAAUCUGGGUAAUGCUGUAAAAACUGCAUGAAUACAAUCAAUACCAAAUAAACACACCAGACUUGAGGGCACUUCAUAUUGUGUAUAAUCUUCAGUCACAAAUUUACUAGUGCUGGCCUCCACUAAGAACACCCCUUCCCCCAAUGUCCAUGGGAAAGACAAUAUAUUAAUAUGAGGUCCCCCUAACCAACUUGGUCCGAUUGAAGAAGCUAUUCAGAUAAGCAACCAAACGAUUCAAACCAAAAAGAAGUCUAAUUGCCAUGACUUAAUUUCCAGACUAUGGGCAAAGCUGUUGGGGUUAUCUGGAUCUGGGGGAGAAGGGAAGAGAGGGGGAGGCUGAAUUACAAAUUUAAAAAAAAAGUUUUUAAAUUGAACAGCAUUAGCAUAAAAAACGCAUUGUAAAGGUCUCCCAUAAUGCAAAACAAAGAAAUUAGAAUAAUUA